GUAGGGAAUCUUCGGCAAUGGGGGCAACCCUGACCGAGCGACGCCGCGUGAGGGAUGACGGCCUUCGGGUUGUAAACCUCUUUCAGCAGGGAAGAAGCGAAAGUGACGGUACCUGCAGAAGAAGCGCCGGCUAACUACGUGCCAGCAGCCGCGGUAAUACGUAGGGCGCGAGCGUUGUCCGGAAUUAUUGGGCGUAAAGAGCUUGUAGGCGGUUUGUCGCGUCUGCUGUGAAAGCCCGGGGCUUAACCCCGGGUUUGCAGUGGGUACGGGCAGACUAGAGUGCAGUAGGGGAGACUGGAAUUCCUGGUGUAGCGGUGAAAUGCGCAGAUAUCAGGAGGAACACCAAUGGCGAAGGCAGGUCUCUGGGCUGUAACUGACGCUGAGAAGCGAAAGCAUGGGGAGCAAACAGGAUUAGAAACCCUUGUAGUCC
RNAcentral lists this ribosomal RNA (430 nucleotides) under uncultured bacterium. RNAcentral's name for it is "bacterial SSU rRNA". It matches the Rfam family "Bacterial small subunit ribosomal RNA", at positions 354 to 796 of the family's 1533-position model. The record is from RNAcentral.